RNAcentral lists this ribosomal RNA (468 nucleotides) under uncultured bacterium. RNAcentral describes it as "partial 16S ribosomal RNA". It matches the Rfam family "Bacterial small subunit ribosomal RNA", at positions 28 to 507 of the family's 1533-position model. The record is from RNAcentral.
GACGAACGCUGGCGGCGUGCUUAACACAUGCAAGUCGAACGGAAAGGCCCUGCUUUUGUGGGGUGCUCGAGUGGCGAACGGGUGAGUAACACGUGAGUAACCUGCCCUUGACUUUGGGAUAACUUCAGGAAACUGGGGCUAAUACCGGAUAGGAGCUCCUCCUGCCUGGUGGGGGUUGGAAAGUUUCGUCGGUCGGGGAUGGACUCGCGGCUUAUCAGCUUGUUGGUGGGGUAGUGGCUUACAAAGGCUUUGACGGGUAGCCGGCCUGAGAGGGUGACCGGCAACAUGGGGAUUGAGAUACGGCCCAGACUCCUAAGGGGGGCAGGAGGGGGGAUUGUGGCAAAAUGGGCGGAAGCCUGAUGCAGCAACGCCGCGUGCGGAAUGCCGGCUUUCGGGUUGUAAACCGAUUUCGCCUGGGACGAAGCGUGAGUGACGGUAAUGGGUAAAGAAGCACCGGCUAACUACGUG